UUAGAGUUUGAUCCUGGCUCAGGAUGAACGCUAGCGGUCGGCCUAACACAUGCAAGUCGAGCGGCAGCAUUGUGUAGCAAUACACAGAUGGCGAGCGGCGAACGGGUGCGUAACGCGUAGGUAACUUGCCCUUAACCGGGGAAUAGCCCGACGAAAGUUGGAUUAAUACCCCAGACAUCUAGAUAAGGCAUCUUAAUUAGAUUAAAGUUUCGGCGGUUAAGGAUAGGCCUGCGUCCCAUUAGCUAGUUGGUGAGGUAAAGGCUCACCAAGGCGACGAUGGAUAGGUGGUCUGAGAGGACGAUCCUCCACACUGGCACUGAGACACGGGCCAGACUCCUACGGGAGGCAGCAGUGAGGAAUAUUGCGCAAUGGGCGAAAGCCUGACGCAGCCAGACCGCGUGUAGGAAGACAGUCGUAAGAUUGUAAACUACUUUUAUCUGAGAGGAAACCUACGGACGUGUCCGUAGCUGACAGUCCAAAACGAAUAAGGAUCGGCUAACUCCGUGCCAGCAGCCGCGGUAAUACGGAGGAUCCAAGCGUUAUCCGGAUUUAUUAGGUUUAAAGGGUGCGCAGGCGGGAAGAUAAGUCAGCGGUGAAAUCCUGUAGCUCAACUACAGAACUGCCGUUGAUACUGUUUUUCUUGAGUUCGGUUGAGGUAGGCGGAAUGUGUUGUGUAGCGGUGAAAUGCUUAGAUAUAACACAGAACACCGAUUGCGAAGGCAGCUUACUAAACCAUAACUGACGCUCAUGGACGAAAGCGCGGGGAGCGAACAGGAUUAGAUACCCUGGUAGUCCGCGCCGUAAACGAUGAUUACUCGUUGUGCGCGAUACACAGUGCGUGACUGAGCGAAAGCAUUAAGUAAUCCACCUGGGGAGUACGUUCGCAAGAAUGAAACUCAAAGGAAUUGACGGGGGCCCGCACAAGCGGAGGAACAUGUGGUUUAAUUCGAUGAUACGCGAGGAACCUUACCCGGGCUUAAAUGCAGAAUGACCGUUGCCGAAAGGUGAUUUCCCUUCGGGGCAAUUUGCAAGGUGCUGCAUGGCUGUCGUCAGCUCGUGCCGUGAGGUGUCGGGUUAAGUCCCAUAACGAGCGCAACCCCUAUCACUAGUUGCCAGCGGAUAAUGCCGGGGACUCUAGUGAGACUGCCACCGUAAGGUGUGAGGAAGGUGGGGAUGACGUCAAGUCAGCACGGCCCUUAUGUCCGGGGCUACACACGUGUUACAAUGGCAAGUACAAAGAGUCGCUACACGGUGACGUGAUGCUAAUCUCGUAAAACUUGUCUUAGUUCGGAUCGAAGUCUGCAACUCGACUUCGUGAAGUUGGAUUCGCUAGUAAUCGUAGAUCAGCAACGCUACGGUGAAUACGUUCCCGGGCCUUGUACACACCGCCCGUCAAGCCAUGGAAGCUGGGGGUGCCUGAAGUCUGUAACCGAAAGGAGCGGCCUAGGGUAAAACCGGUAACUGGGGCUAAGUCGUAACAAGGUAGCCAAGGGCGAA
RNAcentral lists this ribosomal RNA (1497 nucleotides) under uncultured prokaryote. Its description in RNAcentral is "partial 16S ribosomal RNA". It matches the Rfam family "Bacterial small subunit ribosomal RNA". The record is from RNAcentral.